UUAAGCGACUAAGCGUACACGGUGGAUGCCCUGGCAGUCAGAGGCGAUGAAGGACGUGCUAAUCUGCGAUAAGCGUCGGUAAGGUGAUAUGAACCGUUAUAACCGGCGAUUUCCGAAUGGGGAAACCCAGUGUGAUUCGUCACACUAUCAUUAACGGAAUCCAUAGGUUAAUGAGGCGAACCGGGGGAACUGAAACAUCUAAGUACCCCGAGGAAAAGAAAUCAACCGAGAUUUCCCCAGUAGCGGCGAGCGAACGGGGAGCAGCCCAGAGCCUGAAUCAGUGUGUGUGUUAGUGGAAGCGUCUGGAAAGGCGUGCGAUACAGGGUGACAGCCCCGUACACAAAAAUGCACAUAUUGUGAGCUCGAUGAGUAGGGCGGGACACGUGGUAUCCUGUCUGAAUAUGGGGGGACCAUCCUCCAAGGCUAAAUACUCCUGACUGACCGAUAGUGAACCAGUACCGUGAGGGAAAGGCGAAAAGAACCCCGGCGAGGGGAGUGAAAAAGAACCUGAAACCGUGUACGUACAAGCAGUGGGAGCACGCUUAGGCGUGUGACUGUGUACCUUUUGUAUAAUGGGUCAGCGACUUAUAUUCUGUAGCAAGGUUAACCGAAUAGGGGAGCCGAAGGGAAACCGAGUCUUAACUGGGCGUUAAGUUGCAGGGUAUAGACCCGAAACCCGGUGAUCUAGCCAUGGGCAGGUUGAAGGUUGGGUAACACUAACUGGAGGACCGAACCGACUAAUGUUGAAAAAUUAGCGGAUGACUUGUGGCUGGGGGUGAAAGGCCAAUCAAACCGGGAGAUAGCUGGUUCUCCCCGAAAGCUAUUUAGGUAGCGCCUCGUGAAUUCAUCUCCGGGGGUAGAGCACUGUUUCGGCAAGGGGGUCAUCCCGACUUACCAACCCGAUGCAAACUGCGAAUACCGGAGAAUGUUAUCACGGGAGACACACGGCGGGUGCUAACGUCCGUCGUGAAGAGGGAAACAACCCAGACCGCCAGCUAAGGUCCCAAAGUCAUGGUUAAGUGGGAAACGAUGUGGGAAGGCCCAGACAGCCAGGAUGUUGGCUUAGAAGCAGCCAUCAUUUAAAGAAAGCGUAAUAGCUCACUGGUCGAGUCGGCCUGCGCGGAAGAUGUAACGGGGCUAAACCAUGCACCGAAGCUGCGGCAGCGACGCUGAUGCGUUGUUGGGUAGGGGAGCGUUCUGUAAGCCUGUGAAGGUGUGCUGUGAGGUAUGCUGGAGGUAUCAGAAGUGCGAAUGCUGACAUAAGUAACGAUAAAGCGGGUGAAAAGCCCGCUCGCCGGAAGACCAAGGGUUCCUGUCCAACGUUAAUCGGGGCAGGGUGAGUCGACCCCUAAGGCGAGGCCGAAAGGCGUAGUCGAUGGGAAACAGGUUAAUAUUCCUGUACUUGGUGUUACUGCGAAGGGGGGACGGAGAAGGCUAUGUUGGCCGGGCGACGGUUGUCCCGGUUUAAGCGUGUAGGCUGGUUUUCCAGGCAAAUCCGGAAAACUAAGGCUGAGGCGUGAUGACGAGGCACUACGGUGCUGAAGCAACAAAUGCCCUGCUUCCAGGAAAAGCCUCUAAGCAUCAGGUAACAUCAAAUCGUACCCCAAACCGACACAGGUGGUCAGGUAGAGAAUACCAAGGCGCUUGAGAGAACUCGGGUGAAGGAACUAGGCAAAAUGGUGCCGUAACUUCGGGAGAAGGCACGCUGAUAUGUAGGUGAAGUCCCUCGCGGAUGGAGCUGAAAUCAGUCGAAGAUACCAGCUGGCUGCAACUGUUUAUUAAAAACACAGCACUGUGCAAACACGAAAGUGGACGUAUACGGUGUGACGCCUGCCCGGUGCCGGAAGGUUAAUUGAUGGGGUCAGCGCAAGCGAAGCUCUUGAUCGAAGCCCCGGUAAACGGCGGCCGUAACUAUAACGGUCCUAAGGUAGCGAAAUUCCUUGUCGGGUAAGUUCCGACCUGCACGAAUGGCGUAAUGAUGGCCAGGCUGUCUCCACCCGAGACUCAGUGAAAUUGAACUCGCUGUGAAGAUGCAGUGUACCCGCGGCAAGACGGAAAGACCCCGUGAACCUUUACUAUAGCUUGACACUGAACAUUGAGCCUUGAUGUGUAGGAUAGGUGGGAGGCUUUGAAGUGUGGACGCCAGUCUGCAUGGAGCCGACCUUGAAAUACCACCCUUUAAUGUUUGAUGUUCUAACGUUGACCCGUAAUCCGGGUUGCGGACAGUGUCUGGUGGGUAGUUUGACUGGGGCGGUCUCCUCCUAAAGAGUAACGGAGGAGCACGAAGGUUGGCUAAUCCUGGUCGGACAUCAGGAGGUUAGUGCAAUGGCAUAAGCCAGCUUGACUGCGAGCGUGACGGCGCGAGCAGGUGCGAAAGCAGGUCAUAGUGAUCCGGUGGUUCUGAAUGGAAGGGCCAUCGCUCAACGGAUAAAAGGUACUCCGGGGAUAACAGGCUGAUACCGCCCAAGAGUUCAUAUCGACGGCGGUGUUUGGCACCUCGAUGUCGGCUCAUCACA
Molecule: ribosomal RNA, 2516 nt
Filed under: Shigella flexneri 1485-80
Lineage: Bacteria; Pseudomonadati; Pseudomonadota; Gammaproteobacteria; Enterobacterales; Enterobacteriaceae
Description: bacterial LSU rRNA
Rfam family: Bacterial large subunit ribosomal RNA
Source: RNAcentral